AAUGAAUGCAGGUCAAUUCAUUCUCCAUUUUAAAUUUUAAAUCAAAAUGAAAUCUGAUUGAAACCGCCUAUUAUGGUCCUCAAUCACUCAUACAGGGAUCGUAAUCGGCUCUCGAACUCCAGUUUUGGGCUGAUUUAAGGAUCAGAACUAAGUACUUGCUCCCAGUCCAGUUCACUGUUCGAACUUUGACUGCUAACACGACAAGUCGUAGCAAGUGAGGAAAAAGUCGCAGAAUCUAAAACCCUAGUUAAACUUAGUGCCAUGGCGAUAUAGAACCCAAUCUAUCUACCUUCUCUCUUUCUUUACACCGCACUUACAAAACCCUUGUCCUAUUUUCACAAGACGAAGAAACAAGGCAAGCAUGGAAAGCUCUGUAGACGAAACAGCGAAAGAAGUCUCUAAUUUAUCAAUGGACAGUGAGUCUUCAGCUUCCGGAGGAGAAAAUAUCAGCAAGAAUGCGCGCAAGAAGGAAUUGAAGAACAAGCAGAGGGAAGAAGAGAGACGCCGCAAGGAGGAGGAGAAGGCCAGACAGGCUGCAGAGAGGGCUAGCACCCGGGUUCAGAAACCUGCAGCGGCUGAUGAUGAGGAUAUGGACCCAACGCAAUACUAUGAAAAUAGGCUGAAAUAUCUUGCUUCCCAGAAGGCUGAAGGAAGAAAUCCAUAUCCUCACAAAUUCCCUGUUUCGAUGUCAAUUGUAGAAUAUAUAGAAAAGUAUGGAAGCUUGAGCAAUGGAGAGCAUAUUGAGGAUGUCACUGAAUCUUUGGCCGGUCGAGUCAUGAAGAAACGAUCUUCCUCUUCGAAGCUAUUCUUUUAUGAUUUGCAUGGUGGUGAUGUUAAGAUCCAAGUGAUGGCUGAUGCGAGCAAGUCAGGCAUGGAUGAAGCUGAAUUUUCUAGGUUCCAUUCCAGUGUGAAGCGUGGUGAUAUUGUUGGUGUCAUUGGGUUUCCAGGUUUAAUUUGUUAUUGUAUUCUUUCAGUUCAUUUUCUAAUUUUUUUUGUUAAGUGGCUGAAUUAGUUAUUUUAUUUUAUAAUUCAUUUUAUUUCUAUUUCAGCUUUCACUGGAAAAUAAGAAAAUGCGUACAUCCUUCUUUUCCUACUCUUUUAAGGCUGUAUGUUGAAGUUAACAAAUGGGGGUGUUGUAACAUAUACAAAUGGAAAAAAGUUCAAGGAUGCUAAUAAUUCAUUUAAACAUUUUGGUGGUGAUGUGGUUGAGACAGGCAUGGCAGUGUGGAAACAGGGAAACAGAGCAAGUUUUAGAAAAUUUCCAAUAUUAGUAUAAAUUGGGGAAACUGGAAAACAAAUUUGGAAAAUACUGAAUUUGAACGGAAGAUUGUGGUUUUUAUUAUUUAUAGGGAAAGUUUUGGGAAAGUGGCUUAUUUUUUUCCCUACUAAAUAGACCCUUACAUUAUCUAGCGACAAAGAGGUAGGAAUGCAAAGCACUAUUUUAAUGUCAUUGAAGAAGCUAAAAGAGUUUUGGCUAAAGUUCUAUAGAAUGAAGCAAUCAAAAUCAGUUAGUAGAUUUAUGCUUAAGUUCUUGUCUAGCUGUGACAAGAAGUGAACAAUUAUGCUGUGUGCAUGCUUUUGCAUUUUUUUUUCUGCAGUGACUAUGCACAUUUCUUUUUAUGUACUAGCAAAAAAAUUCAAAGAUUUGAUUGGACUGAACAGGUGUAAAUCUUCUCAUCAAGAGGUAUAUGUGGUUUAAGUUUGUGUUAUCUUCCUAUGCUUUUGGUUACAUUUUAUUUUUUUAUUGAAGCCUUUCCCAUUUAUUGAUGCCUUUUAUUUAUAUAGAAGUCAGACUGAGUUGUGCUUUCUGGUGGUAUUUUGAAACUUAUGCAAGCAGCUGAUUUUUUUUCCCUGAUCUGAAUUAUACUCUUCAAGAAAAUAAUUUCCUAUGCUUAUUUUUGUUUCUUCAUUACUCAUGAUUAGCUUUCUUCUUCCAUUCUGUCAGGAAAAACUAAAAGGGGAGAGCUGAGUAUUUUUCCAAGAUAUUUUACUGUUUUAUCUCAUUGUCUCCAUAUGAUGCCAAGGGAGAAACCUGGUCAGAAUGCCAACAUAAAGAGAACUGACAUCUGGGGCCCAGGAGAAACCAGGAAUCCUGAAGCUUAUGCUUUAAAAGAUCAGGAAACUCGCUAUCGUCAACGUUAUCUAGAUCUGAUGUUGAAUGCGGAGGUUCGACAGAUAUUCAAGGCCCGAUCUAAAGUCAUAUCAUAUCUUAGAAGCUUUCUUGACAACCUUGAUUUCCUAGAGGUUGAAACACCCAUGAUGAAUAUGAUUGCUGGUGGAGCCGCUGCUCGCCCAUUUGUUACUCAUCACAAUGAACUGAACAUGAAGCUCUACAUGCGUAUUGCACCUGAACUUUAUCUUAAAGAGUUAGUUGUUGGUGGUCUGGAUCGUGUUUAUGAGAUAGGAAAACAAUUUAGAAAUGAGGGUAUUGAUUUGACUCAUAAUCCUGAGUUCACAACCUGUGAGUUCUAUAUGGCUUUUGCGGACUACAAUGACUUGAUGGAACUAACUGAGAGAUUGUUGAUUGGAAUGGUCAAGGAACUUACAGGUGGCUACAAAAUUAAAUACCAUGCAAAUGGUUCUGACAAGGAUCCAAUUGAGAUUGACUUUACACCACCUUUUAGACGGAUUGACAUGAUAGACGAGUUAGAACAGAUAGCCAACCUCAACAUACCAAAGGAUCUUUCCAGUGAUGAAGCUAACAAAUAUCUAGUUGCUGCGUGUGAGAGGUUUGAGGUCAAGUGCCCCCCUCCUCAGACAACAGCUCGUCUUUUGGAUAAACUGGUGGGGCACUUUCUAGAAGAAACUUGUGUGAAUCCUACUUUCAUCGUAAACCAUCCUGAAAUUAUGAGUCCUUUGGCAAAGUGGCAUAGAUCAAAACCAGGCUUGACUGAACGUUUUGAAUUGUUUGUGAACAAGCACGAGCUAUGCAAUGCAUACACUGAAUUGAAUGACCCUGUGGUACAACGUCAGCGAUUUACUGAACAACUCAAGGACCGACAAUCGGGCGAUGAUGAAGCGAUGGCUUAUGACGAAACAUUUUGUACUGCUCUUGAGUAUGGGUUACCUCCAACUGGUGGCUGGGGAAUGGGUAUUGAUCGACUAGCUAUGUUGUUAACUGAUUCCCAGAAUAUCAAGGAGGUGCUGCUUUUCCCAACCAUGAAGCCUCAAGAUGAACCUCCUGCUAAAGCAACUUGAUGAGUUUGAGAUGCUGUUCUGGAUCAGAGAUUUCAUUUUCAUAUUCUUGUCUGGGUGGUGGAGUUGGUGUCAGCUGCUGAUAAAUUUUGCCAUAUUUUUACUCAUGUCCCAACUCAUUUUUGUUGGGGAUGAUCAUUUGACCCUGUUAGUGAAGUGUGUGAAAUAAAAUGCUCUUUCAAUGUAAUCUAUGGCAUAUUCAUGCUCCUCAUUAAAUGAGAUGCUGUUUUAUUCUUGUUUUGCACUAUUGCUUGUGCAUUUUGAGUUUAAAUACAAAGUCUAGGGUCUAAUACUUGAACUAUUUGGGAAAAGUUGUACCCAUG
This 3518-nucleotide unclassified non-coding RNA is filed under the name Hevea brasiliensis (rubber tree). The record is from RNAcentral. Lineage: Eukaryota; Viridiplantae; Streptophyta; Magnoliopsida; Malpighiales; Euphorbiaceae.